UCCUACUUCUCUUAAAAGAUAGUACUUUUUUGGUCUUCAAAGCUGUAGGUGUAUAUUAUGAAAAUUGUUAAUGUGGCGUGAACCAGAAACCGCUAUGAAUUUCAAGCGUUUUCAUUAAUCUUCUUGACUUUUUGUUAAAACGGAAGUGAACUUGGUUCUAAACAUACACUGGCUAUGAUACUAUCUCUUUUGUGUCAUGGAGAACCGGAAACCCCUAUGAAUUUCAAGCCUUUUCAUCAAUCUUCUUGACUUUUUGUUGAAACAGAAGUGAACUUGGUCCUAAACUUGCACCGGCUAUGGUAGUAUCUCUUUUGUGUGAUGGAGAACUGGAAGCUGCUAUGAAUUUCAAGCCUUUUCAUCAAUUUUCUUUACAUUUUAUUGAAACCGAAGUCAACUUGGUCCCAAACAUGCAUGGGCUAUAUCAAUAUUUUCAUAUUUGAAUGUCUGCACCUUUUGACUAACUGAAAUAUUAUUUUUAUACUUUAUCUGACCUGCCCUCUAAAGAUAUCGAAUUUAAGUGUUUUGUAGAGCAUUUUCCAUCAAAUAUAUAUAUAUGGCCCAACGAGUUGAGCUUUGGUGUGUCUCGGUUGGACAAUAUGGGCCUGUGAGGGAUCUGAACUAACAUCCGGUCUAAAGUUUUUCAAGAAUUAUUCUUCCUAUGUGGUACCUUACCUGGACAUAAAGUACCCUCAGAUUAUUUUUAUCCCCUUCUCUUCACGCCCUUGGCAAUGCCCACUUCAAUUGUGUAGAGUGGUGUUCUUUUAUUUCUGUACAGUUUUCUACUAAGUUGCUUGAGCAACAAUUGCGUUCAUUUCCUUCUACAUGAUUAAUAACACUUGAUUUGUGAUA
Molecule: long non-coding RNA, 849 nt
Organism: Lolium perenne
Lineage: Eukaryota; Viridiplantae; Streptophyta; Magnoliopsida; Poales; Poaceae
Source: RefSeq, a predicted model, not a curated record